RNAcentral lists this ribosomal RNA (402 nucleotides) under uncultured bacterium. Its description in RNAcentral is "partial 16S ribosomal RNA". It matches the Rfam family "Bacterial small subunit ribosomal RNA", at positions 355 to 774 of the family's 1533-position model. The record is from RNAcentral.
UGGGGAAUCUUAGACAAUGGGGGCAACCCUGAUCUAGCCAUGCCGCGUGAGUGAUGAAGGCCUUAGGGUUGUAAAGCUCUUUCAGCUGGGAAGAUAAUGACGGUACCAGCAGAAGAAGCCCCGGCUAACUCCGUGCCAGCAGCCGCGGUAAUACGGAGGGGGCUAGCGUUGUUCGGAAUUACUGGGCGUAAAGCGCACGUAGGCGGACUGGAAAGUUGGGGGUGAAAUCCCGGGGCUCAACCUCGGAACUGCCUUCAAAACUAUCAGACUGGAGUUCGAGAGAGGUGAGUGGAAUUCCGAGUGUAGAGGUGAAAUUCGUAGAUAUUCGGAGGAACACCAGUGGCGAAGGCGGCUCACUGGCUCGAUACUGACGCUGAGGUGCGAAAGCGUGGGGAGCAAACA